GAUGGGGGUGGGGGUUAUACAUUUUACUCUUCAUCAUAUACAGUGUGAUACAAUUUAGUCAUGAAUAUAUUGUGUUCAUUGGCUGCUUCAGUUAUGACAAUCAAUAUUCAUGAGCUAAACUCGUAAACUUUAAAAUGAGUCGGGCCAGUUUUCUUACAAUCCUGCAUGCAAAACUCCCAGACAAAAGAAAUUAUUAAAUAAAUAAAAAAAUGUCCACUCAGGCAGAUGGCCAAUUUAAAACAUCAGAUGAAACAGAAAUAAGAUUGAUGCCUUUAAUAAAGAACAUCCCUUUUUAAAAUACAUUUCCAUAUAACACGGCUCAUAUAUCUUCAAGUGCAGCUUUUUACUUUUCUUGCGUGCCGUAGUUCCAGGCGCCGUUUCGGAUCCGGCCUGAGUGGAUAAUUCAAAAUAUUUUGGAGGCUAUUAUUUUCUAUUUGUCAUUUUUACCUAGGUUUGAAGUACCGGCGAAGCUUAUUCGCUUUCCAGCUGUCAGCUGCAUUGAGACCGCUUUUAGCGAGCUUAAGAGAAUGUUCUCUGUCAGCCAUUGAAUACUGCAACCCUCCAUAUUUAGAUUUGCCAUUCAAAAUGAUAGAGGUGUCACAUAAAGAGAGGUCUGACUGUGUCAGUGCAUCUAUAAAAGGUGUCAAACAUGCUGGUUUGAAUCCAGCGUUUAAGUGCUUUUCCUUUCUCUGCCUUCAAUGCCCGCCAGCUGGAGAAGGAGAAUAAAAAGAGCGAGAAAACAUUAAAUGCCACCGCAGCAUCUGUCAAGCACAUCAUAGACAACAUCAAGAUCCUCCUCGCUGCAGUUUGACCCGCUGAACGGUCAUCUGAAGCUGAUAGAAAUGCGAUUCUCUCUCUGCUUAUCCUUUGUGUUUUGGUUGGAUUGUUUGUUUCUCUCUUCCUGUGUUUUCAGGGCCACUUCUGAGACUCAGAGACGGAAAGCAGAGACGUUUAGAGAGUGAUGCUGCCAACCUCUCAACAGGGGGCAAUCGCUUUACCUGUCAACCCCUCUGCAUGUCGCCUUUCAUUUUCCGGCUCGAGGGACAAGAGAAAGCGAAUAACCGCAUUCACAGACACCCAGAUGUUCCAUUGGUUUCCAGAGACUGAACUGUGACAGUGAAUAAACCGAAUGAUGAAAUGCAGCUUUCUCUUGACAACACAAAAUCCAG
Molecule: non-coding RNA, 1169 nt
Organism: Danio rerio (zebrafish)
Lineage: Eukaryota; Metazoa; Chordata; Actinopteri; Cypriniformes; Danionidae
Source: RefSeq, a predicted model, not a curated record